Molecule: small nuclear RNA, 99 nt
Filed under: Fukomys damarensis (Damara mole-rat)
Lineage: Eukaryota; Metazoa; Chordata; Mammalia; Rodentia; Bathyergidae
Source: RNAcentral
UUGCUUUAACAGCACAUAUACUAAAAUUGGAAGUAAACAGAGAAAAUUAGUGUGGGCCCUGCUGCAGGACACCAUAUAUGUUAGUUCCUUUCUGUUGUU